Molecule: RNA transcript, 942 nt
Organism: Propithecus coquereli (Coquerel's sifaka)
Lineage: Eukaryota; Metazoa; Chordata; Mammalia; Primates; Indriidae
Gene name: cytochrome c oxidase assembly protein COX14
Exons: 4
Source: RefSeq, a predicted model, not a curated record
AGUCCUAGAGGCUGAAACCGGCAAGUGGGAGGAAGGUCGCUUUGCGCACCAAUAGCUGAGGCGUUUAGGGUUGUUCCUGGGCCGGUACCCUCACGUGUCUGGUUUCGAGGGCUGAUGCGUUCGGUCGCAGUAGGAAGUUGCGCAGACCGUGGCAGUAAGACGCUUCCUGCGAAGGCCUCGGUUGGACGCGAAGGAGCUGCAGCAUCCAGGGGACGACAUGCCAACUGCCAAGCAGCUAGCUGACAUUGGCUACAAGACCUUCUCCACCUCCAUGAUGCUCCUCACUGUGUAUGGGGGCUACCUCUGCAGUGUCCGGGCCUACCACUUUCUCCAGCGGCGCCGCUCCCGGCGCCAGGCUGCAGAAGAACAGAAGACGUCGGGAGUCCUGUAGAAUUGGGGGGCUUUCUCUUGCCCGAGGCCUGCUGUGGAAGGACCUUACCUGCUGUCAUUUCCAGAAAAUUCAUCCCAUUGAUGGCAGAGCCAGUUCCUGGUAUUUGAGUCUCUGACACAACAGAAUUGUAUCAAGUCUGCAUAGGAUGGCCUGAGGCUUGUGGCUAAACUCUUGGUGAGACCUGCCCUGUGAGAGACCUUACUGAACAAGAAGAAAAAGCAGAACUGUAUGCAGAUGGCUGAGGUGAAGAUGAUGCAGAUAACUUUACUAUGCAUUUAUUCUCAUACUUCUACAGAUCUUCAAGGAGCCAAAUUCAUGGACCCCCUAAUUAUGAAGUCAUUUCUCAUAUCUCUCUAAGGUCUAGUCCCAAGUGCUACAAUAACCCUCUCCAUGACUGUUUUUAGAAGACUCAUUUUACUGCUUUAAAUCUUUGAGGGCUCCCUUGACCUGCCAGAUGUUUAGCUCUUCAGCAUGAUAUUCAAGAUUCUUCACAAUCUAGCCCCAGGCUUCUUUCCUAUUAUCUCCUGCCACUUUGGUCCAGCUCCAACAGA